UUCUGAGUAUAUUCUAUAAGAGAUGUGGCUGCUCAAAUUAGUUUAUGCUUUUUUCUUCGGCGUCUUCUUUUCAACACUCACCCAUAAAAAAUGCGGGGUGAACAAACACGUUAGAAUUGACAAGCUAAAGAACACGCAUAAGAUGCAGUUCGGCAAAGCUGCGGUAGCGGCAGUCGACGUGACAUUUCUCAAAGAGAUGCCUGCUGGUACAAAGUUGUCAAUUACCAUACACAAAUACGUAUUGGGCCUAUAUAUUCCGCUUCCAUGCAUGCGUGGUAAAGGCUCCUGUAAAUAUGAUCUCUGUGAAUUUCUGACCAGCAAAGACGAUAUGUGCACGCUUUGGGUUCAGGUACCCGUUGAUCAUCUACGGACAGUAGCUAUCCGUGAGGAAACGUGUUCUCCGCGCGCUGAUGAAACCACGAGGUCGGACAGCCCCGAAAUUUAGGCAAGCCCUAAAACACCGGACAACCCAUAAAAGUGGGAAUGGUUACGGCCUUCAAUCAACGCGAGCACGUCUAACUGCUUAUAGCCCACUGACUACCGCAACGGCUCGCAACACUUUCAUGACAGCCCCUAUGAGUCCCACGAUUUUCACUAGUCGCGCCUCAGCGGAAGUUUUUAACCACAGUCACGCGUCAAGUCAAACACCAGCCUUGGACGAUACGCCCACUUCAAGACUAAUGGCUUCCCCAAGCAGCACGGCUGCCACAAAGAUCGCACGGAGGCACGAUUCAUCUAGAAAUAGUCGAAAUUCUUUAAACUUCAGCUCGAAUUUAAAAACCACCAUUGCAUCGAGUGGUAUCGAAAAACCUACGUAUCCAAGAAUAGCCACCGAAUCCAAUGAUAUUGAAAAUUUCACGGAUCUAAAAACAUCCAUCGCAUCGAGCGGUGCUGAGAGCUCAAAAAAACACGUUACGAAACACGUUAUCGCACCUCGGGGUAAAUGCAGCUGCCCUAUCCGCAGCGGCUUAAGGCUUAAGAGCAAAAUGGUCCACGUACUGCAACUGCCUGAACUUCGAUGGAUUCCAAAAUUUAUUAAAAAUGGUGGAUACACCAUACGGGCUGAGCUAAUUGAUCGCCAAGGAAAUUCUCUACACUGCAGUAACAUGAGAGUUUGGAUUGGUUGAAUACACCCCGUUAGGAAGCCUGGACGUACGUACG
This is a non-coding RNA of Varroa destructor (honeybee mite), 1161 nucleotides long. Lineage: Eukaryota; Metazoa; Arthropoda; Arachnida; Mesostigmata; Varroidae. The record is from RefSeq and is a predicted model, not a curated record.